CAGUCGCCGCGGGAAUACGGAGGGGGCUAGCGUUGUUCGGAAUUACUGGGCGUAAAGCGCACGUAGGCGGCUUGGUAAGUUAGAGGUGAAAGCCCGGAGCUCAACUCCGGAAUUGCCUUUAAGACUGCCGAGCUAGUAGGUGAGAGAGGUAAGUGGAAUUCCGAGUGUAGAGGUGAAAUUCGUAGAUAUUCGGAAGAACACCAGUGGCGAAGGCGGCUUACUGGCUCAUUCUAGACGCUGAGGUGCGAAAGCGUGGAGAGCAAACAGGAUUAGAUACCCCUGUAGUCCCUGUCUCUUAUAA
RNAcentral lists this ribosomal RNA (301 nucleotides) under uncultured bacterium. Its description in RNAcentral is "partial 16S ribosomal RNA". It matches the Rfam family "Bacterial small subunit ribosomal RNA", at positions 509 to 809 of the family's 1533-position model. The record is from RNAcentral.